AUUAUUAUCAACAUUUGAGGAGUCCAA
This 27-nucleotide non-coding RNA is filed under the name Bombyx mori (domestic silkworm). Lineage: Eukaryota; Metazoa; Arthropoda; Insecta; Lepidoptera; Bombycidae. The record is from RNAcentral.